Molecule: ribosomal RNA, 440 nt
Filed under: uncultured bacterium
Lineage: Bacteria
Description: bacterial SSU rRNA
Rfam family: Bacterial small subunit ribosomal RNA
Source: RNAcentral
CCUACGGGGGGCAGCAGUUAGGAAUCUUCCACAAUGGGCGAAAGCCUGAUGGAGCGACGCCGCGUGAGGGAUGACGGUCUUCGGAUUGUAAACCUCUGAACUAGGGACGAAAGACGGUUUGCCGGGAUGACGGUACCUAGGUAAUAGCACCGGCUAACUCCGUGCCAGCAGCCGCGGUAAUACGGAGGGUGCGAGCGUUAUCCGGAAUCACUGGGCGUAAAGGGCGUGUAGGCGGGACGUUAAGUCUGGUUUUAAAGACCGCAGCUCAACUGCGGGAGUGGACUGGAUACUGGCGUUCUAGACCUCUGGAGAGGUAACUGGAAUUUCUGGUGUAGCGGUGGAAUGCGUAGAUACCAGAAGGAACACCAAUGGCGAAGGCAGGUUACUGGACAGAAGGUGACGCUGAGGCGCGAAAGUGUGGGGAGCAAACCGGAUUAGAU